AAUAGUAGAAAUUACAGACAAAGAUUCUCCCUCAAGGCAAAUGUUUUGUGAUUUCAUCUCCGAAACGGCAACAAACAUCCCACACCAAGCUGCAAUUAACUCUGCACGAUGCAUCAGGUACAGAGGAAUAGAUUAACCCCAACUUUGAUGAGAUUUCCUCCAUUGUUCUGAAUAAUAUAGCGCGUAACCAUCUUAUCCUUCAACACAGCAGCAUCGAAAUUGACCUUAAGAUAUCCAGAGGGGGAAGGUGACCAAGACACUAAUAAGUUUCAUAUACUGCCCAAGCAGGGCAAAUUUAAGUCAGCCCAAUGCCUCGACGGAUUCCAAAGAUCCAUACGACUACCGUCAUUACCAUGAAGAAUAAGGUAAAUAGGAACCUGUCUCAUUAGUUGAACUGGGGACACAGUGGUAUUCAGAAACACCCUUUCAUUUCUACCAUUCCAGAUCAACCAAGCACUAACAGAAGUCAAAGACUUGUACCUUCUCUCUACCUCAGCGGCGGACAGUAAAUCCAUCGU
RNAcentral lists this long non-coding RNA (518 nucleotides) under Elaeis guineensis (African oil palm). RNAcentral's name for it is "long non-coding RNA (EGUI_LNC037957)". The record is from RNAcentral. Lineage: Eukaryota; Viridiplantae; Streptophyta; Magnoliopsida; Arecales; Arecaceae.